Pygoscelis adeliae (Adelie penguin) is the source of this 1435-nucleotide long non-coding RNA. RefSeq lists it as uncharacterized. The transcript is spliced from 2 exons. The record is from RefSeq and is a predicted model, not a curated record. NCBI's taxonomy places the organism in Eukaryota, Metazoa, Chordata, Aves, Sphenisciformes, Spheniscidae.
CAGAGUGCUGAAGUUUAAAGUUGAUACUUCUCAGUUCCUAGGUGUCUACCUGGAAAAUCUAGAUGAAGACUUGCAAGAAGAACAGUUCAGAGAAUAUCUAGAUAAUUUUGGCAGUAGCUUCUAUUUAACAUGUUGCAUCAUUUUUGCCUUCUGGAUUGGUGACAUAUGUAUGCAGUGAUGUGCUUUGAGUUUAAAAGCUUUGUCUGGAACUUCUAGAGUGGACACAUUUUUCUUUUAAUUCCAAAUGGAAGGUAUUAAAACAGUUCAGCUUCUCAUAUUUGUUCAUUACAAAGCCCUGUGCUUCUAGCACUAAACAUUGUACCCUAUGCAUAAGCAUUUUUGCCAGUAUUUUUAUUGAAAUAAUGACAGGUGGGUCAAAGGCAGUCAGAGGACUUGUGUGUAUGUUUUAGAACCUUUUUGAGUUUUUUUCCUUGAUUCUUAAAGAAAGUGCAAUCGCUUCUGCCAUUUUCUGUGGCCCUUGCUGGUCCUCUUCUUUGUGCAAGCAGCUGCUCUCAUUUGCCUCCUUCAGCAACCAUCAGGCUUUGUCUCAGGCUGCUGCCUAGCUCCAGUAAUUAUAAUAAAUUCUUUACAGUUUUGGAUUCAGAAAAUAAGAUCUUCAGUCAUUGGGCAGUAGUUGAGAUGGAACAAAUGGCUAAUAGAAAUGGGUUAAUAUUUAAUUUUUAUUCCAGUGGUUUUACUUUGAAGCCUUGUAUGAUGGUGUUCAAUAAUGAAUAUUUCUCUGUAUCUUCAAGUAUUUUUUGCAUAGAAGACAUGGUAUAUUAGAAUUCGGGAGGAACUGCAUUUCAGUUAAACCUCCCUGGAGAUCUCUGAGAGCUACUCGAAGCUGAAGUACCACCAAGUGAAACAGUAAUCAGUGGGUCAUCAGUAUAAAUGUUCUUGGUCAGUUUGGGAAGGAACAGUUCAUGUUGAAGCAAGACUUGGAAAAUGGGCCAAGCAAGAGUCACUGAACAAUAUGGGCAUUAGGCAUAGGUUCACUGAGGCCAUGCUUGUUUGGGGAAAAAUGCAGAUGAACAGAGGAAAUGGACAGGAGAAGCCUAGCUGGGUCCUUGCAACUCUGGAACUUGGGAGAUAAUGCAAACCAAAUGAAUCCUAAAAGUUCAUCUGAUUUGUUUGCUGUGUAAGAGAAAAUUAAAGCAGUCUGAAUAUACAUGUAAGCUGUACGUGUUCUAUUAUAUUUCUUCAUUCACUUAAGAAGGUUGCUGGCUUUUAUUUUUAGCUAAAAAAAUGCUUGAAGGUAAGAUUACUAAAUGCUGGUAAUGAGCUGUUAUAAAUUGAUGGGCUGUUUCCUGGUUCCAACCUGAGCAUAAUAGUUGAACUUCGAAAGAGAUGAGGGUGAUUUAAGACAGGGCACAGGUGAAAUUAUCCCUAUGGUCUUGAUGUGCUGUUGACUUCUGAAUGUACAAGAUUUAUUUUA